UACCAGCACCCCGAGUGGUCGGGACGAUUAUUGGGCCUAAAGCAUCCGUAGCCGGUUCUACAAGUCUUCCGUUAAAUCCACCUGCUUAACAGAUGGGCUGCGGAGGAUACUAUGGAGCUAGGAGGCGGGAGAGGCAAGCGGUACUUAGUGGGUAGGGGUAAAGUCCGUUGAUCCAUUGAAGACCACCAGUGGCGAAGGCGGCUUGCCAGAACGCACUCGACGGUGAGGGAUGAAAGCUGGGGGAGCAAACCGG
RNAcentral lists this ribosomal RNA (253 nucleotides) under uncultured bacterium. Its description in RNAcentral is "partial 16S ribosomal RNA". It matches the Rfam family "Archaeal small subunit ribosomal RNA", at positions 474 to 727 of the family's 1478-position model. The record is from RNAcentral.